GGGGGGAGGGGGCCAGGCAGCCGUUAGACAGCACAACCGAACCCAACACCGGGGCCCAACGGCAGGGGCUUGGGCAGGAGCAAGGUCCGAGGGCUGCCAGGUCCACGCUGCUUUUAUGAGCUGUAACACUCACCGCGAAGAUCUGCAGCUUCACUCCUGAGCCCAGCGAGACCACGAGCCCACCGGGAGGAACAAACAACUCCAGACGCGCUGCCUUAAGAGCUGUAACACUUGCCGUGAAGGUCUGCAGCUUCACUCCUGAGCCAGCGAGACCACGAACCCACCAGAAGGAAGAAACUCCGAACACAUCUCAACAUCAGAACGGACAGACUCCAGACGCACCACCUUAAGAGCUGUAACACUCACCGCGAGGUUCCGCGGCUUCAUUCUUGAAGUUCGUGAGCCACACAUCUCCCCACACCAAGCUCCUCCAUACAAGACCUCGGACUGCAUCACAGCUAUCAGCUUCCCAGUUUGCACAAUUCAUCAAGAAAUUAUGCGGGGUCACUGGCACAAAUGAUGAGGCAUCUCCUGGAAGCUUAACUUCUUAUCCAUCCCAUCUCUUGGACAGAUGAUGCCAGUUAAUUACUUUGAAUGCUCUGCUGCUAUGGUGAGCUGCACGUCUGGAGGCUUCACAGAGACACUGGGUGAAUCUAAAUGAUGAGUUUGAUGGUGACCUGGAGGUGAAACUGUGACUUCAUGAUGUUCUAGAGGCUGACCUGGGGUCUCCUGCUGGGUCAGAGAAGAUUCGACCUCCCCAGAAGACUCAGAAGGCUGAACUGGCUGCUGCUGCUCACUGAUGGAAAGUUCAUGCUCCAUAGGAGGAACUGGAGGCUCAAUUGGGGCCUCCUGUUGGGUUGCAGAAGGUUCCACCUCCUCUGGAAACUGAAUUGGGGUCUCCUGCUGGGUUUGGGAAGAUUCUGUCUCAUUGGUAGGCUCUGAAGUUAUGGUAACCUCCACAUCUGCAGGUUUAACUGUAAUGUUGGGCAAGUGAUAAUAAGCUUGAUCCUCACCUGGAGGUUGAACUGACACCUCAUGAUUCGGUAGAGUUAGACUCUCCAUAGAGGACUCUGGAGGCAGAGCUGGGGCCUCCUGCUGCAUUGAAGAAGGUUCUUCCUCAAGGAGCUGUGGAAGCUGUGCUGGGGCUUCUUGUUGGAGUGAAGAGGACUGGAUGUCUUCAAGGGUCUCUGGAUUUUGAGUUUCGGGCUCUAGAUGGAAUUGAGAAGGUCCAACUUGCUCAGAGGGCCCUGGAGGCUCAUCUGACUUCACCCGGAGUUCUGGAGGCAGGCUACCGGGAUACGGUGUAUCUGUACUGGAAUAUUCAUUCUGCAAAUUCUGUUUCUGAC
This 1346-nucleotide long non-coding RNA is filed under the name Homo sapiens (human). RNAcentral's name for it is "HSALNT0390255". The record is from RNAcentral. Lineage: Eukaryota; Metazoa; Chordata; Mammalia; Primates; Hominidae.